ACUCAAAUGAAUAGACGGGGGCCCGCACAAGCGGUGGAGUAUGUGGUUUAAUUCGAAGCAACGCGCAGAACCUUACCUGGGCUUAACAUCCCUUGACACCUCCAGAGAUGGGGGGUUCCCUUCGGGGACAAGGAGAUAGGUGCUGCAUGGCUGUCGUCAGCUCGUGUCGUAAGAUGUUGGGUUAAGUCCCGCAACGAGCGCAACCCUUGCCUUUAGUUGCCACCAUUAAGUUGGGCACUCUGAAGGGACUGCCGGUGUUAAACCGGAGGAAGGCGGGGAUGACGUCAAGUCCUCAUGGCCCUUACGUCCAGGGCUACACACGUACUACAAUGGCAGAGACAAAGCGUCGCGAAGCCGCGAGGUGGAGCUAAUCGCAAAAACACUGUCUCAGUCCGGAUUGAAGUCUGCAACUCGACUUCAUGAAGCUGGAAUCGCUAGUAAUCGCAUAUCAGCACGAUGCGGUGAAUACGUUCCCGGGCCUUGUACACACCGCCCGU
This 497-nucleotide ribosomal RNA is filed under the name uncultured bacterium. Its description in RNAcentral is "partial 16S ribosomal RNA". It matches the Rfam family "Bacterial small subunit ribosomal RNA", at positions 899 to 1397 of the family's 1533-position model. The record is from RNAcentral.